This 429-nucleotide ribosomal RNA is filed under the name uncultured archaeon. Its description in RNAcentral is "bacterial SSU rRNA". It matches the Rfam family "Archaeal small subunit ribosomal RNA", at positions 474 to 903 of the family's 1478-position model. The record is from RNAcentral.
UACCAGCUCUCCGAGUUGUAGGGAUGAUUAUUGGGCUUAAAGCGUCCGUAGCUGGCUUAGCAAGUCUCCUGUUAAAUUCAGCGACCUAAUCGUUGAGCCGCGGGAGAUACUAUUAGGCUAGGAGGCGGGAGAGGUCGACGGUACUUUCGGGGUAGGGGUGAAAUCCUAUAAUCCCGGGAGGACCACCAGUGGCGAAGGCUGUCGACUAGAACGCGCUCGACGGUGAGGGACGAAAGCUGGGGGAGCGAACCGGAUUAGAUACCCGGGUAGUCCCAGCUGUAAACUAUGCGGGCUAGGUGUUGGGGUGGCUACGGGCCACUUCAGUGCCGCAGGAAAGCCAUUAAGCCCGCCGCCUGGGGAGUACGGCCGCAAGGCUGAAACUUAAAGGAAUUGGCGGGGGAGCACCACAAGGCGUGAAGCUUGCGGUUC